GGAAGGUUGUCCGAGCUGGCCGAAGGAGCACGCCUGGAAAGUGUGUAGGCGUCACAAGCGUCUCAAGGGUUCGAAUCCCUUGCCUUCCG
This 89-nucleotide transfer RNA is filed under the name Staphylococcus aureus. RNAcentral's name for it is "tRNA-Ser". It matches the Rfam family "tRNA". From Rfam's summary of the family: Transfer RNA (tRNA) molecules are approximately 80 nucleotides in length. Their secondary structure includes four short double-helical elements and three loops (D, anti-codon, and T loops). The record is from RNAcentral. Lineage: Bacteria; Bacillati; Bacillota; Bacilli; Caryophanales; Staphylococcaceae.